This 282-nucleotide long non-coding RNA is filed under the name Lathyrus oleraceus (garden pea). Its description in RNAcentral is "Pisum sativum (pea) long non-coding RNA (PSAT_LNC029848)". Lineage: Eukaryota; Viridiplantae; Streptophyta; Magnoliopsida; Fabales; Fabaceae. The record is from RNAcentral.
AAAAAUAUAAAAAUAUAAAUUUAUUGAGUACACCCACUAAGUUGAAAACCCGAAAGGGCAACUUAGGAAAAAAAGGGUAUCCUGGUGGAUUGAAAACCUGAAAGGGCGAUCUAGGCAAAAUUUAGGGAUUCAAAGCGAAUGACUACGUGUGAUAUCGAAUAAGUUGAUUUCGUCAUACUACUACAGUUAGAAACCUGAAGGGCACGAAUCAGUUUAAAUCAUUUUUCUUCAAAAAGCAAAGGGAUGAGAGCGUUAAGGUCAUGAACAAUUAUAGCAGAAUCA